RNAcentral lists this ribosomal RNA (577 nucleotides) under soil fungal sp. 36-M-5. Its description in RNAcentral is "eukaryotic LSU rRNA". The stretch from base 240 to 393 matches the Rfam family "5.8S ribosomal RNA". The record is from RNAcentral. Lineage: Eukaryota; Fungi.
UGGAAGUAAAAAGUCGUAACAAGGUUUCCGUAGGUGAACCUGCGGAAGGAUCAUUACCGAGUUCUGAGGUCUCUUCUCGAGCCUCAACUCCCACACCAUGUGUACCUUACCUUCUGUUGCUUCGGCGAGCCGCCCUGAAAAGGGCGCCAACCCCUCUCGCGGGUUGGAGCGUCUUGCUCGCCGGAGGACCAUGAAACUCUUGCUAAUUGAAUCGUCUGAGUAACGUUUUAAUAAAUUAAAACUUUCAACAACGGAUCUCUUGGUUCUGGCAUCGAUGAAGAACGCAGCGAAAUGCGAUAAGUAAUGUGAAUUGCAGAAUUCAGUGAAUCAUCGAAUCUUUGAACGCACAUUGCGCCCCUUGGUAUUCCGAGGGGCAUGCCUGUUCGAGCGUCAUUUCAAACCUCAAGCUUCUGCUUGGUAUUGAGCGUCCGCCUGCCCCGCAGGCGGUGCUCGAAACUCGUGGGCGGUAGAAGUCCAGCGUCGUAGCGUAGUCAUAACAAACUUCCGCUUCUUUGUCGCCUCUUCUGCUCGCCAGAGAACCUCUAUUCUUUUAAGGUUUGACCUCGGAUCAGGUAGA